RNAcentral lists this unclassified non-coding RNA (309 nucleotides) under uncultured Ascomycota. Its description in RNAcentral is "sequence contains ITS1". The stretch from base 1 to 105 matches the Rfam family "5.8S ribosomal RNA", at positions 50 to 154 of the family's 154-position model. The record is from RNAcentral. Lineage: Eukaryota; Fungi; Ascomycota.
GAAAUGCGAUAAGUAAUGUGAAUUGCAGAAUUCAGUGAAUCAUCGAAUCUUUGAACGCACAUUGCGCCCAUUAGUAUUCUAGUGGGCAUGCCUGUUCGAGCGUCAUUUCAACUAUCAAGCCCUGUUUGCUUGGCGUUGGGAGACUUGUAGGCCCGGCCUGCAACCUCCUGAAAUAGAUCGGCGGAGUCGUGGCGACCCUCAGCGUAGUAAUUUUUCUCGCAUUAGGUGUCGGCGCCGGCGUCUGGCCGCUAAACCCCUAUUUAUUUUAGUCUUGACCUCGGAUCAGGUAGGAAUACCCGCUGAACUUAA